This is a non-coding RNA of Pelobates cultripes (western spadefoot toad), 226 nucleotides long. Lineage: Eukaryota; Metazoa; Chordata; Amphibia; Anura; Pelobatidae. The record is from the annotation of a GenBank genome assembly.
CACACAGGCUGGGGCCUACUUACUAAGAUGGCCAUUGCUCAGAGGUGAUCACCAACACAUGCCCAUGCAACAAGGUUAUCCGCACAGUGUUUUUACCCUUUGCCGGUUUACAUCCAUGGUAGUUCCUCGGCAUGUGCAAGCUGCUGAUGUCUGGGGGGAGAUCCCGGAAUCCUGCUCUGGUCGCUGAAUUCGGCUGGUACUGUGAGAAAUGUGUAUUGGAUCGGAG